RNAcentral lists this ribosomal RNA (443 nucleotides) under Brugia pahangi. Its description in RNAcentral is "partial 12S ribosomal RNA". The record is from RNAcentral. Lineage: Eukaryota; Metazoa; Nematoda; Chromadorea; Rhabditida; Onchocercidae.
UCAUUUUAAUUUUUAACUCUAUUUGUUGUUUGUGUCUUUUUUUUUAUUUUUGUUUUUAUGUUAUUGUUUGUAAAAUGUUUUAGUUUUUAUAUUUUUUAAAAAGACAUUUAAAAUUUGUUUUUUGAACUGGAUUAGUACCCAGGUAAUCAAAAUUAAUUAAUUCGGGAGUAAAGUUUUGUUUAAACCGAAAAAAUAUUGACUGACCUUGGAUUUUUCUUUGGAAUAUGCGUAUGGAGAGCCCUCUUUUUUGGUGAGUCUUAUCGGCACAUGUAUGAUUGUUUAGUUUUUAUUUUAUUUGUAAUGCUUUUUAUGUUUUGUCAUUUAAAACAGAUAUAUAUUUGGCUUAUGGACUUAUAAUCGUGUGUUACUAUUAUUAAUUUUUUUUGGAUUAUUUUUUAUUUUUUCGGAAAUUGGAAAAGAAAGUAAUUUUUUUUUAUAUGAAU